Molecule: long non-coding RNA, 1311 nt
Organism: Myotis daubentonii (Daubenton's bat)
Lineage: Eukaryota; Metazoa; Chordata; Mammalia; Chiroptera; Vespertilionidae
Exons: 2
Source: RefSeq, a predicted model, not a curated record
UAUGUGUCAUAGCAAUAUCUUUACCAAUACAGCUCCUAGGCCGGUGAUGGUGAACCUAUGACACGCGUGUCAGAGGUGACACGCGAACUCAUUUUUUUGGUUGAUUUUUCUUUGUUAAAUGGCAUUUAAAUAUAUAAAAUAAAUAUCAAAAAUAUAAGUCUUUGUUUUACUAUGGUUGCAAAUAUCAAAAAAUUUCUAUAUGUGACAUGGUACCAGAGUUAAGUUAGGGUUUUUCAAAAUGCUGACAUGCCGAGCUCAAAAGGUUCGCCAUCACUGUCCUAGGGCAUUGGAAACUAAGGAGAAAAUAAACAAAUGGGACUACAUCAAAAUAAAAAGCUUCUGCACAGCAAAAGAAACCAUCAAAAAAACAACAAGAAAGCUCACUACAUGGGAGAACAUAUUUGCCAAUGUUACAUCCAAUAAGGGCCUAAUCUCCAAAAUUUAUAGGGAACUCAUACAACUGAACAAAAGGAAGAUAAACAAUCCAAUUAAAAAAAUGGGCAAAGAACCUAAAUAGAGGUCCUUUCAAAAGAGGACAUACAGAAGGCCAAGAGACAUAUGAAAACAUGCUCAAAGUCACUAAUCAUUCAAGAGAUGCAAAUCAAAACAACAGUGAGGUACCAUUUCAUACCUGUCAGAAUGCCUAUCACCAAUAAAUCAACAAACAACAAGUGCUGGAGAGGAUAUGGAGAAAAAGGAACCCUGGUGCACUGCUGGUGGGAAUGCAGACUGUUGCAGCCACUGUGGAAAAUAGUAUGGAGAUUCCUCAAAAAAUUAAAAAUGGAACUCACAUUCGAACCAGUAAUUCCACUUCUGGGAAUGUAUCCCAAGAAACGAGAAACACUGAUCAGAAAGGGCUGCUAUGUUCAUAGCAGCACAAUUUACAAUAGCUAAGAUUUGGAAACAGCCUAAGUGCCCAUCAGCAGAUGAGUGGAUUAAAAAACUGGUACAUCUACACAAUGGAAUACUAUGCUGCUAUAAAAAAAAAGGAACUUUUACCAUUUGAGACAGCAUGGAUGGAUCUGAAGGGCAUUAUGCUAAGUGAAAUAAGCCAGUUGGAGAAAGAUAAAAAUCACAUGAUCUCACUCAUAUCUAUAAUAAUAAAAGCAUAAUAUGCUAAUUAGACUGGACGUCCUUCCAGACAACUUUCCAGACGAAUCUGGAGCUGCAAGGUAAGCCCGGGUCCCGGGUGCCAGAGGGAAGCUGGUGCCAGGAGACUGGGAAAGGAAUGCCUAUUCUUGCAUGAAUUUUAUGCAUCAGGCCUCUAUUGUGGGAUAUAAUGAACAACAUAAACUGAUGAAAAAAAAUAGA